GACGAACGCUGGCGGCGUGCUUGACACAUGCAAGUCGAACGGAAAGGCCUGCUUUCCCUUGUGGAUUGCGGGUACUCGAGUGGCGAACGGGUGAGUAACACGUGAGUGAUCUGCCCCCAACUUGGGUAUAAGCCUGGGAAACUGGGUCUAAUUCCCGAUAGGACUGCAGGGUGGUGCCUGUGGUGGAAAACGAUUUUCUAGUGGUUGGGGAUGAGCUCGCGGCCUAUCAGCUUGUUGGUGGGGUAAUGGCCUACCAAGGCGGCGACGGGUAGCCGGCCUGGGAGGGGGGACGGCCACAUUGGGACUGAGAUACGGCCCAGACGCCUACGGGAGGCAGCAGUGGGGAAUAUUGCACAAUGGGCGGAAGCCUGAUGCAGCGACGCCGCGUGGGGGAUGACGGCCUUCGGGUUGUAAACUCCUUUCGACCGCGAGGAAGCCACCUGGUUGGAAGGGUGGUGACGGUAGUGGUAGAAGAAGCACCGGCUAACUACGUG
Molecule: ribosomal RNA, 494 nt
Filed under: uncultured bacterium
Lineage: Bacteria
Description: partial 16S ribosomal RNA
Rfam family: Bacterial small subunit ribosomal RNA
Source: RNAcentral